RNAcentral lists this transfer RNA (75 nucleotides) under Desulfobacula sp. Its description in RNAcentral is "tRNA-Cys". It matches the Rfam family "tRNA". From Rfam's summary of the family: Transfer RNA (tRNA) molecules are approximately 80 nucleotides in length. Their secondary structure includes four short double-helical elements and three loops (D, anti-codon, and T loops). Lineage: Bacteria; Pseudomonadati; Thermodesulfobacteriota; Desulfobacteria; Desulfobacterales; Desulfobacteraceae. The record is from RNAcentral.
GGCGGCUUCGCCAAGGGGUAAGGCAACGGCCUGCAAAGCCGUUAUUCUUCGGUUCAAAUCCGAAAGCCGCCUCCA